Molecule: long non-coding RNA, 1207 nt
Filed under: Junco hyemalis (dark-eyed junco)
Lineage: Eukaryota; Metazoa; Chordata; Aves; Passeriformes; Passerellidae
Description: lncRNA (ENSJHYG00000016599.1)
Source: RNAcentral
GUCGGGGCUCCGCGCUCCGCUCCGGGCAGGGCUCGCCAUGCUCCGGAAUGCGAAAUGCAGCUUUCCAGAAUGCCAGAAAGAAUUUCUGCAUCGGACCUCACCCCAUCAGAGGAGAAGGGGCUGUCCCUCAGGCAGGAGGGGUCACCAGUGAUGGUGUUUGUUGUGUGUAAACAGCACAAGAUUGGCAGCAGUAACACAGGAGGAUUCUGAGGGCUGGUUUCACAAAGCCAGCACCAACCAGCAGCCAAAUCCCUCAGGUGGGAGGCUUUGAACUCUGAGAUCUGACCAGAACCUGGAACUCUCCCCUGUGGACCCCCAACCCCUCCACCCAAAGCGACGUCUGUGUUUGCUGAGCAGUCAAAGCAGACAGCAACAGAAACACACAGGGCAGAGAAGAUCUGCUUGGGGUCUCUGUGAUUUCACAGUUGGCACUCCUUUUCUGCAUCUAUUCUGUCUCCAAGACCAGAAGAAAUGGGAGGUUUGGCCUGAGGAAGCUUGGACAGCUCAAACAUUGUCCUUCCAGAGGGAAGAGGGUCUCCAAAAGAAGGUGAAGGUAUGAUUUAUCAUGGACAUGGGAGGCAGGAGGUUUUUCCAUGUUACAAAUGGAUCAAAUGGAAGCAAAACAGGGCCAGGCUCAAAGUGAGAAGGUGACACAUGGUUGGCCAAGUCACCAUGAGCUGUAAUGGGUUCUCCUGUGCUGAAGAUGCUCCAAAGCACCCAGGGAUGGCUUGAAAUGUGCCCUCAGCCACCAGGGACACAGCGGGGCAGGCAUCUUUUACCUCCAGGCUUUUGGAGGUCAGUGAGAAGGUUUCCAAAGACACAGUGAUGUUGAGGGUAUCUCCAAGCUUCUCCCCAUCCUGCAAACUCCAUGUCAUAAUGGCAUUUUCCCCCAAAUCCUCCUCAAACAUUUGUUAAACACCAAAUUUUGCUUUAGUCUGCUCCACGGGGGAUUCCUUCUGGCUGUGCUUCAUGCCAGCGCUGGGGCUCAAACCUCGUGAGUGGUUUCUGCUCUUGACUUCCCACAUCCCUUCUAAGCUCAUUCGGAAAACAUCUUCCCUUGCCCAACGUCUCCACCAAUUCCCCUGCCCCUUUGUUUUUAUUUAGCUCUGUAAUUACAUUAUCUGACCGUACAGCGAUUUGGAAUGAAAUCUGCAUAAAAGAUAUUAAGAAAAAUAAAUCUGUGUUUUGCAAUAUCUUUGAAGAUAUC